UAAGGAAUAUUGGUCAAUGGACGCAAGUCUGAACCAGCCAUGCCGCGUGAAGGAUUAAGGCCCUCUGGGUUGUAAACUUCUUUUAUAGGGGAAGAAAUGUGACGGUUCUCCGUCACUUGACGGUACCCUGGGAAUAAGCACCGGCUAACUCCGUGCCAGCAGCCGCGGUAAUACGGAGGGUGCAAGCGUUAUCCGGAUUACUGGGUUUAAAGGGUGCGUAGGUGGGUAUGUAAGUCAGUGGUGAAAUCCCCGAGCUUAACUUGGGAACUGCCAUUGAUACUAUAUAUCUUGAAUACCGUAGAGGUAAGCGGAAUAUGUCAUGUAGCGGUGAAAUGCUUAGAUAUGACAUGGAACACCAAUUGCGAAGGCAGCUUACUACGCGGUGAUUGACACUGAGGCACGAAAGCGUGGGUAGCAAACA
RNAcentral lists this ribosomal RNA (421 nucleotides) under uncultured bacterium. RNAcentral's name for it is "bacterial SSU rRNA". It matches the Rfam family "Bacterial small subunit ribosomal RNA", at positions 355 to 774 of the family's 1533-position model. The record is from RNAcentral.